RNAcentral lists this ribosomal RNA (730 nucleotides) under Priestia megaterium. Its description in RNAcentral is "bacterial SSU rRNA". It matches the Rfam family "Bacterial small subunit ribosomal RNA", at positions 40 to 751 of the family's 1533-position model. The record is from RNAcentral. Lineage: Bacteria; Bacillati; Bacillota; Bacilli; Caryophanales; Bacillaceae.
UGGCGCGUGCUAUACAUGCAAGUCGAGCGAACUGAUUAGAAGCUUGCUUCUAUGACGUUAGCGGCGGACGGGUGAGUAACACGUGGGCAACCUGCCUGUAAGACUGGGAUAACUUCGGGAAACCGAAGCUAAUACCGGAUAGGAUCUUCUCCUUCAUGGGAGAUGAUUGAAAGAUGGUUUCGGCUAUCACUUACAGAUGGGCCCGCGGUGCAUUAGCUAGUUGGUGAGGUAACGGCUCACCAAGGCAACGAUGCAUAGCCGACCUGAGAGGGUGAUCGGCCACACUGGGACUGAGACACGGCCCAGACUCCUACGGGAGGCAGCAGUAGGGAAUCUUCCGCAAUGGACGAAAGUCUGACGGAGCAACGCCGCGUGAGUGAUGAAGGCUUUCGGGUCGUAAAACUCUGUUGUUAGGGAAGAACAAGUACGAGAGUAACUGCUCGUACCUUGACGGUACCUAACCAGAAAGCCACGGCUAACUACGUGCCAGCAGCCGCGGUAAUACGUAGGUGGCAAGCGUUAUCCGGAAUUAUUGGGCGUAAAGCGCGCGCAGGCGGUUUCUUAAGUCUGAUGUGAAAGCCCACGGCUCAACCGUGGAGGGUCAUUGGAAACUGGGGAACUUGAGUGCAGAAGAGAAAAGCGGAAUUCCACGUGUAGCGGUGAAAUGCGUAGAGAUGUGGAGGAACACCAGUGGCGAAGGCGGCUUUUUGGUCUGUAACUGACGCUGAGG